GAUGAACGCUGGCGGCGUGCCUAAUACAUGCAAGUCGAGCGACCAGACGAGGAGCUUGCUCUUCUGACGUUAGCGGCGGACGGGUGAGUAACACAUGGAUAACCUACCUAUAAGACUGGGAUAAUUUCGGGAAAACGGAUCUACUACCGGCUCAUAUAUUGAACCGCAUAGUUCAAUAGUGAAAGGCGGCUUUGCUGAUAGUUAUAGACGGAUCCGCGCCGCAUUAGCUAGUUGGUAAGGUAACGGCUUACCAAGGCAACGAUGCGUAGCCGACCUGAGAGGGUGAUCGGCCACACUGGAACUGAGACACGGUCCAGACUCCUACGGGAGGCAGCAGUAGGGAAUCUUCCGCAAUGGGCGAAAGCUUGACGGAGCAACGCCGCGUGAGUGAUGAAGGUCUUCGGAUCGUAAAACUCUGUUAUUAGGGAAGAACAAAUGUGUAAGUAACUAUGCACGUCUUGACGGUACCUAAUCAGAAAGCCACGGCUAACUACGUG
This 497-nucleotide ribosomal RNA is filed under the name uncultured bacterium. RNAcentral describes it as "partial 16S ribosomal RNA". It matches the Rfam family "Bacterial small subunit ribosomal RNA", at positions 28 to 507 of the family's 1533-position model. The record is from RNAcentral.